RNAcentral lists this ribosomal RNA (385 nucleotides) under Enterobacter cloacae. RNAcentral's name for it is "bacterial SSU rRNA". It matches the Rfam family "Bacterial small subunit ribosomal RNA", at positions 198 to 564 of the family's 1533-position model. The record is from RNAcentral. Lineage: Bacteria; Pseudomonadati; Pseudomonadota; Gammaproteobacteria; Enterobacterales; Enterobacteriaceae.
AGACCAAAGAGGGGGACCUUCGGGCCUCUUGCCAUCAGAUGUGCCCAGAUGGGAUUAGCUAGUAGGUGGGGUAACGGCUCACCUAGGCGACGAUCCCUAGCUGGUCUGAGAGGAUGACCAGCCACACUGGAACUGAGACACGGUCCAGACUCCUACGGGAGGCAGCAGUGGGGAAUAUUGCACAAUGGGCGCAAGCCUGAUGCAGCCAUGCCGCGUGUAUGAAGAAGGCCUUCGGGUUGUAAAGUACUUUCAGCGGGGAGGAAGGUGUUGUGGUUAAUAACCGCAGCAAUUGACGUUACCCGCAGAAGAAGCACCGGCUAACUCCGUGCCAGCAGCCGCGGUAAUACGGAGGGUGCAAGCGUUAAUCGGAAUUACUGGGCGUAAA